AUGGCCUGGACUCCUCUCCUCCUCGUGCUCCUCUCUCACUGCACAGGUUCCCUCUCCCAGCUUGUGCUGACUCAGCCGCCCUCCCUCUCUGCAUCUCUAGAAGCCACAGCCAGACUCACCUGCACCCUCAGCAGUGGCUUCAAUGUUGGCAGCUAUACGAUAUCUUGGUACCAGCAGAAGCCAGGGAGCCCUCCCAGGUAUCUUCUGUGGUAUCACUCAGACUCAAGCAAGCACCAGGGCUCCGGGGUCCCCAGCCGCUUCUCUGGAUCCAAAGAUGCCUCGGCCAAUGCAGGGCUCCUGACCAUCUCUGGGCUGCAGCCUGAGGACGAGGCCGACUAUUACUGUGCAAUCUGGCACAGCAGUGCUUCUCACAGUGACUCACACAGAUGGGGAAGUGGGACAAAAUCCUCAGCCUAA
Non-coding RNA from Phyllostomus hastatus (greater spear-nosed bat), 417 nucleotides. NCBI's taxonomy places the organism in Eukaryota, Metazoa, Chordata, Mammalia, Chiroptera, Phyllostomidae. The record is from the annotation of a RefSeq genome assembly.